RNAcentral lists this transfer RNA (72 nucleotides) under Oscillatoriales cyanobacterium RM2_1_1. RNAcentral's name for it is "tRNA-Thr". It matches the Rfam family "tRNA". Rfam says of the family: Transfer RNA (tRNA) molecules are approximately 80 nucleotides in length. Their secondary structure includes four short double-helical elements and three loops (D, anti-codon, and T loops). RNAcentral also lists the same sequence under 1 other name. The record is from RNAcentral. Lineage: Bacteria; Bacillati; Cyanobacteriota; Cyanophyceae; Oscillatoriales.
GCCGGCAUAGCUCAGUGGUAGAGCACCCGCCUUGUAAGCGGGCGGUCGUGGGUUCAAGUCCGACUGCCGGCU